This 590-nucleotide ribosomal RNA is filed under the name uncultured bacterium. RNAcentral describes it as "bacterial SSU rRNA". It matches the Rfam family "Bacterial small subunit ribosomal RNA", at positions 338 to 1533 of the family's 1533-position model. The record is from RNAcentral.
CCUACGGGAGGCAGCAGUAGGGAAUAUUGGUCAAUGGGCGAAAGCCUGAACCAGCAACGCCGCGUGCGCGAUGAAGGCCUUCGGGUCGUAAAGCGCUUUUGGGAGGGAUGAAAAUGACAGUACCUCCCGAAUAAGGAUCGGCUAACUACGUGCCAGCAGCCGCGGUAAGACGUAGGAUCCAAGCGUUAUCCGGAAUUACUGGGCGUAAAGGGCGUGUAGGAGGUUGGGCAAGUCGGCCAUGAAAGCUCCCGGCUCAACUGGGAGAGGCUGGUCGAUACUGCCUGGCUAGAGGGCAAGAGAGGGAGGUGGAAUUCCCGGUGUAGUGGUGAAAUGCGUAGAUAUCGGGAGGAACACCAGUGGCGAAGGCGGCCUCCUGGCUUGUACCUGACUCUGAAACGCGAAAGCAUGGGUAGCAAACAGGAUUAGAAACCCUGGUAGUCCAUGCCAUAAACGAUGUCAACUGGGUGUCGGCGAAGUAAAAUUUGUCGGUGCCGAAGCUAACGCGUUAAGUUGACCGCCUGAGGACUACGAUUGNAGAUAAACUACAAGAAGUAGACGCGUGAGACGNGCGACGACGACGACGAGGAGAG